AUGAAAUACAUAGCAAAGCAAUCAAUUGUAGCAAAACUCAUACUAUCUCCACUCCUCUUUGUCAUUGCGAUUGAUCCUCUCCAACAAGUUCUUAAUGUGGCCACUCGCCACAGGAUAAUCCACAAAAUCAAGGGGCAUGGCACUUGCUUUCAAACAUCUAUCUAUGCGGACGAUGCGACUGUUUUUUUUGUCAAGCAUUUAAAGGAGUAUGUUUUGAACCUUGCAACCAUCUUGGUUUGCUUUGGUCAGGCCAUGGGGUUAUGCAUACAAGAGCUUUGUCAUCCCUAUAAGAUGCGGGAACUUGAAGUUGGACGAGAUCUUCCAUGUGGCCUUUCUCUCUCAUUGCGACAACUCAAGAGGGUCGAUUGCAUAUACCUUCAUGAUAAGGUCGCGGGCAAACUUGCCCCUUUGGAGGGAGGGAAUAUCACCUUGAAGGGUCGGUGCAUUCUUGUCAAACCGGUGCUCACCUCGCAAGUGGUCUACCACGCGACCUCCCUUGUCAUUCCUCUGGUCCGGGAAGAACAAGAUGACUGA
Molecule: ribosomal RNA, 534 nt
Filed under: Triticum aestivum (bread wheat)
Lineage: Eukaryota; Viridiplantae; Streptophyta; Magnoliopsida; Poales; Poaceae
Description: partial small subunit ribosomal RNA
Source: RNAcentral